This 373-nucleotide unclassified non-coding RNA is filed under the name uncultured Hymenobacteraceae bacterium. RNAcentral describes it as "contains 16S-23S intergenic spacer region". Lineage: Bacteria; Pseudomonadati; Bacteroidota; Cytophagia; Cytophagales; Hymenobacteraceae. The record is from RNAcentral.
UCACUGCUUGCGCAGGCAGUCUGGCUAGAGUCCCCACCAUUACGUGCUGGCAACUAACCAUAGGGGUUGCGCUCGUUGCGGGACUUAACCCAACACCUCACGGCACGAGCUGACGACGGCCAUGCAGCACCUUGCUUUGUGUCCCGAAGGAAAGGCUCAUCUCUGAGCCGGUCACGCGCAUUCUAGCCUAGGUAAGGUUCCUCGCGUAUCAUCGAAUUAAACCACAUGCUCCACCACUUGUGCGGGCCCCCGUCAAUUCCUUUGAGUUUCACCGUUGCCGGCGUACUCCCCAGGUGGGAUACUUAUCGGUUUCCCUAAGCCACGAACAAUCUUUAGCUCGCAGCGAGUAUCCAUCGUUUACGGCGUGGACUAC